AACGAACGCUGGCGGCAGGCUUAACACAUGCAAGUCGAGCGCCCCGCAAGGGGAGCGGCAGACGGGUGAGUACCGCGUGGGAACGUACCUUUUGGUUCGGAACAACUCCGGGAAACUGGAGCUAAUACCGGAUAAGCCCUAACGGGGAAGAUUUAUCGCCGAAAGAUCGGCCCGCGUCUGAUUAGCUAGUUGGUGAGGUAACGGCUCACCAAGGCGACGAUCAGUAGCUGGUCUGAGAGGAUGAUCAGCCACACUGGGACUGAGACACGGCCCAGACUCCUACGGGAGGCAGCAGUGGGGAAUAUUGGACAAUGGGCGCAAGCCUGAUCCAGCCAUGCCGCGUGAGUGAUGAAGGCCUUAGGGUUGUAAAGCUCUUUUGUCCGGGAAGAUAAUGACUGUACCGGAAGAAUAAGCCCCGGCUAACUUCGUG
Molecule: ribosomal RNA, 430 nt
Filed under: uncultured bacterium
Lineage: Bacteria
Description: partial 16S ribosomal RNA
Rfam family: Bacterial small subunit ribosomal RNA
Source: RNAcentral